Molecule: long non-coding RNA, 1106 nt
Filed under: Marmota monax (woodchuck)
Lineage: Eukaryota; Metazoa; Chordata; Mammalia; Rodentia; Sciuridae
Source: RNAcentral
GCUGAAUCUAAGGGAGGAUUUAGAAACACCUCUGAUUGAUGAAUAUUGCAUGAGGUUUACAUAGUUUAAGAUUACAUUCCUGGGCUGCGGAUGUGGCUCAAGCGGUAGCGCGUUCGCCUGGCAUGCGUGCGGCCCGGGUUCGAUCCUCAGCACCACAUACAGACAAAGAUGUUGUGUCCGCCGAUAAUUAAAAAAAAUAAAUAAAUAUUAUUUAAAAAAAAAAAAAAAAAAGAUUACAUUCCUGUUAACCCUUUGACUCAAUGGAGAGAGACUUGUAUAAUAAAGGUUCCCUUUAGGUGUGAGUUGCUGUUUUCUCUGGGUGUAUCCUUAUUGGCUAUGUAGAGCAGAACAUGGACAUUUAGUUAUUUUCCAUUGGUGAUUGUUGUUUUCUGUAGUUUCAUAGAGAAAAGUAGUCUCUGUACCUUAUCAUAAUCACACUGAGAUAUACGGAAAUGGAAUCAGGAUCCUUUGUGCUCUGCAUAGGUGAAGAAAGCAGAUAUUCCACUUGUCACAAAUAAUAACAGGCACAGUAAUAAUGCCACCACUAAUGUUCCUUGAAUUCUUACUAAUGUAAGGUUCUAUUCUAAACACUUUUUAUCUGAUUGAAUUCUCAUAACAAACUUAUGGGGUAGAUACUAUUGUUAUUUUUGUUUUAUGGAUAACAAAACCAAGGCACAGAAAGACUCAGUAAUUUGCCCAAGUCUCAUAGCUUAUACAUAGUAUGGCCUUGAUUCAAAACUUAGCAGGCAGGGCCGAGACAAAAAUAUUCCAGUGCGAGAGGCAGUGGCCUCAAGAAUGGGCCUGAGAUUGUAACUCUGUGCUGAACCCCUGUCGGGGAGAAAGGAGGAGAGUUGACAAAUUCUUUUAGUGUGGUGAGUUCUCCAGGAGUGUGUGGCAGGGUAGGUUAACCUAGGGCAGGGGAAGGUGGGAAGGCUCUCCUGAGAAAAUGUUCUUUGAGAGGAACAUUAAGAAUGAGUAGGUGCUCUCUAGAUAAGGAGUGGUAGGUAUGAAUAUUGCAGCAUGUGUGGUAGUGCCCACAAGGCUGGAGAGAAUAGAAUGUGGUUAUUUUAAGGAACAGUCUUGUGGAGCUCAGUAGAAGGAGUAGA